AGAAAAGUUUGGGGCAGAUUGCUUUUAACAAUCUGACCUUCCUCAUGAGUAAAUGUGUUAGACUACGACUGGCCAAGUCAGAGUACCAGAGAGGGUCAACACUGGGGAAUCAAUACCAGUGAUUACCAAGCUACCAGGGAGGAUUUUAAAAAAACAACACCAUCUGUCCCUGCACCUUCAAAAUUCUGAUGUAUUACCUCCAAGCUUUAUGAAGAGGAUCCCUUUUCACGAUGGUCACAGAAGCAUUCUAGCUCUCAAGUGGUAACACUGCCCA
Molecule: long non-coding RNA, 274 nt
Filed under: Rattus norvegicus (Norway rat)
Lineage: Eukaryota; Metazoa; Chordata; Mammalia; Rodentia; Muridae
Description: long non-coding RNA NONRATT033645
Source: RNAcentral